Molecule: ribosomal RNA, 609 nt
Filed under: Pseudovibrio exalbescens
Lineage: Bacteria; Pseudomonadati; Pseudomonadota; Alphaproteobacteria; Hyphomicrobiales; Stappiaceae
Description: bacterial SSU rRNA
Rfam family: Bacterial small subunit ribosomal RNA
Source: RNAcentral
GAUGAGGCUGCGUACACAUGCAGUCGAGCGGUCCCUUCGGGGAUAGCGGCAGACGGGUGAGUAACGCGUGGGAACCUAUCCAUCGGUACGGAAUAGCUCCGGGAAACUGGAAUUAAUACCGUAUGCGCCCUAUGGGGGAAAGAUUUAUCGCCGAUGGCCGGGCCCGCGUUGGAUUAGCUAGUAGGUUGGGUAAUGGCUGACCUAGGCGACGAUCCAUAGCUGGUCUGAGAGGAUGAUCAGCCACACUGGGACUGAGACACGGCCCAGACUCCUACGGGAGGCAGCAGUGGGGAAUAUUGGACAAUGGGGGCAACCCUGAUCCAGCCAUGCCGCGUGAGUGAUGACGGCCUUAGGGUUGUAAAGCUCUUUCAGCAGUGAAGAUAAUGACAUUAUCUGCAGAAGAAGCCCCGGCUAACUUCGUGCCAGCAGCCGCGGUAAUACGAAGGGGGCUAGCGUUGUUCGGAAUCACUGGGCGUAAAGCGCGCGUAGGCGGAUUGAUAAGUUAGGGGUGAAAUCCCGAGGCUCAACCUCGGAACUGCCUUUGAUACUGUCAGUCUUGAGUUCGAGAGAGGUGAGUGGAACUCCGAGUGUAGAGGUGAAAUUCGUAGA